RNAcentral lists this ribosomal RNA (358 nucleotides) under Macrotermes barneyi. Its description in RNAcentral is "partial large subunit ribosomal RNA". Lineage: Eukaryota; Metazoa; Arthropoda; Insecta; Blattodea; Termitidae. The record is from RNAcentral.
CUUUUCUUGUUAGUUUUUGAAGUAUGGCCUGCCCACUGAUUUUUUAUUGAAGGGCCGCGGUAUUUUGACCGUGCAAAGGUAGCAUAAUCAUUAGUUCUUUAAUUGUGAUCUGGUAUGAAUGGCUUGACGAGGCAUGGGCUGUCUUAGAGUUUUGGAUUGUUUUAUUGAACUUGGUUUUUGAGUUAGAAUUCUUAGAUGUUUUUAUGGGACGAGAAGACCCUAUAGAGUUUGACAUAUAUUAUAGUUUUGUUUGGUUUGUUAUGUUAGUUGCUUUUAUUGUUUGUUUUGUUGGGGUGAUGGGAGGAAUUUUUUUAACUCUUCUUUAUUUUGGUAUAUUUAUUUAUGUUUGUUUUGAUCC